GGGGAUGUAGCUCAUUUGGCAGAGCGCGUCAUUAGCAGGUUAUCACAACUUGAAUUGACGAGGUACCGGGUUCAAUUCCCUGCUUCUCCA
This 90-nucleotide transfer RNA is filed under the name Kwoniella shandongensis. It matches the Rfam family "tRNA". Rfam says of the family: Transfer RNA (tRNA) molecules are approximately 80 nucleotides in length. The record is from Rfam by way of RNAcentral. Lineage: Eukaryota; Fungi; Basidiomycota; Tremellomycetes; Tremellales; Cryptococcaceae.